AAAUUUCAACAUUUGAAGUGUACAUUAUCUUUGAAUGAGCAGGAUACAGUGUUUUAUCUUUAAUGUUAUUUAAAACUGGUGAUGCUCAACCACAACUUUCCACUGCGCUGAUGCUAAUCACUGAGCACUUCCGUGCUUGUUCUUUUAAGAGAGGGCUUGAUGACUAACUUGAUUAUACUAUUUAAGAUCAUUAAAAAGAGGAAUUAGGAAGCUAAUGAAAUAAUGUCUGAUUUCAACAUGUGGAAUAUACAAUCUGUAUUCUUUAUCACACUCUGCAUGUUUCUUUUCAAUGUGGCAGAUAACAAACUUGUAAAUGGGAAUUCAACCACUGGAGACAUAACAUGUAAUGUUCUUCAUCCAUUGGUGUACGCUAUCAUCUGCUUCCUCGCUGCUGUCAUUCUCAUUCUCCUAAUAAUUCUGUAUAAAAUCAUCUCCAUGCAAAAUCGCGUCAAAAAAGACAAUAUCCACAUGGCCAGCGACACAGGAGAAUCGACAUCUUUACAUAAUGCUUUGUGUACAAGUCUUGCUCCAACCUCAUGCGACGACGGAGCAGAUAAUUCAUCCUCUACUAGUUCAGGGACUCCUGAAGGCUCGAUUUCCAGUAGAUCUCAGCGGUACGUGAGUAUUCCAGAGUGCUCGAAAACAUCCGACUACAUCAAUGUUUCAGAAGGGGUUUCCUCUGGACGAGUGGACUUUAAGAAUAAAACAACACGCAUAGACUAUGUGAACAAUAAAGAGUCCCAAAGGAAGAAGGUCAGUGGAAAAGGUCAAGCGAGAUGUGCUGACGCUACAAGCGUUAGCAGCGACGCGAGUGACGAGUCUGCUGUCAAUUACUCCAAGGUUGUUUUUACCAAAGCGAAGAAGUAACAUGUCAUUGGUAGCUUUUGUAAAAAUGGAUCAUUUAGCUUGAAAUGAAAAUUCUGUCAUCAUUUAUUCACAUGUAUGUUAUUAUAAAAGCUGUAUGGCUUGCUUUUCUUUGUGGAGUUUUUGGGGGUUUUGCUAUAAAUUAAAUGGUCACUGCAGUGUUCAUUUAGUAUCACUGAGUAACGUUUGUAGCUCUUUAAUAUUUAGAUUUUGUUUCUAUUUUUAACUUUUGAAGUUUGGUUGUAAUUCGUUAUAUAGUUUUUAAAAAGUAUUUAUGUUUUAUUUAUACUCUAGUUUGACAUACAUACACACUGGGUAUUCAUCUUUUGUAGGGACUUCCCAUAGACGUAAUGAUUUUUAAACUGUGUAUUCUGUACUUCGUAUUCCCCAAGCCUAACCCUAAACACAAACUUCACAGAAAAUAUUCUGCAGUUUUACAUUUUCAAAAUACUACAUUAUAUCAAGAUUUAUGAGUUGUUUCCCUCAUGGGAAAAAUAUUAAAUAAAUAAACAGUCACCUAAGUUCAAAAAUGCUAUUGCUACUUGGUGCCCACAUGAUAAAUACCAGGAUCACACACAGUUGUUCAUCUGUCAUAUAAACUAAAGAAAAUGAAUGUUUUUUUUUUUUUUAGAAAAGGGCUGAAAAAAAUGUGUUUAAUUAAAAUAAUAACAAUUAUUGUACUUUUAUUGUCUUAUUAAUCAUUAACAGCUCUCUCUUACAGAGACAUAGGCCUGUAUUUUUAAUAUAGCUAUCAUUUUCAUAUAAUAUUCACUCUGAAAAAAGUACUGAGCUCUCAACUACUCAAGAUGUAUUAUGCAUAUGCACAAUAAUCAUUUAAGGAAAGGAAUUGCAUUUGGUUAUGCUUACACUUUAAAACCCAACAGUCAACUUUAUCAAAUAAAAUGACAGGAGUUAACUUAAAAUAUACUGAAAGUAAUUUUCUACUCAUUUGAAAAGAGUUUUGAACUCAGUGUUGAAAGUAAUGAGUUAAUUAAAUACCUCAUUAACUCAACUUAAAUUGAGUAAGUUCACAGGACUCAUAUGGAUUAGUUUUUUUUAACUCAAACGGUUUGUGCAAUC
Molecule: long non-coding RNA, 1944 nt
Filed under: Danio rerio (zebrafish)
Lineage: Eukaryota; Metazoa; Chordata; Actinopteri; Cypriniformes; Danionidae
Description: lncRNA (ENSDARG00000117276.1)
Source: RNAcentral